Molecule: ribosomal RNA, 253 nt
Filed under: uncultured bacterium
Lineage: Bacteria
Description: partial 16S ribosomal RNA
Rfam family: Bacterial small subunit ribosomal RNA
Source: RNAcentral
UACAGAGGUCCCAAGCGUUGCUCGGAUUCACUGGGCGUAAAGGGUGCGUAGGUGGUCGGGUAAGUCUGAUGUGAAAUCUCUGAGCUCAACUCAGAAACUGCAUUGGAUACUAUCUGGCUAGAGGAGUGGAGGGGGGACUGGAAUACUUGGUGUAGCAGUGAAAUGCGUAGAUAUCAAGUGGAACACCAGUGGCGAAGGCGAGUCCCUGGACACUUCCUGACACUGAGGCACGAAAGCUAGGGGAGCAAACAGG